CUGAGACCGCCACGGUAACUUGCAAACAACUCACUGCACUUAGACACUGGACUACCUAAAUUUCUAAUUCAAUGACGGAAGGCUGCUGGGUGUAGUCAUGUACUUGACUUGUCGGUGCAUGUGUCAAGAUGAGAUUGACCACUCUAGUUUAGGAGCUAUGUACAGUUGUGUUUCAAUUUAGCAAAAUCUUGGCCAGAGUAGUCCUAGUGAGGAGUCACAGGACU
RNAcentral lists this long non-coding RNA (224 nucleotides) under Elaeis guineensis (African oil palm). RNAcentral describes it as "long non-coding RNA (EGUI_LNC073198)". The record is from RNAcentral. Lineage: Eukaryota; Viridiplantae; Streptophyta; Magnoliopsida; Arecales; Arecaceae.